UACGAAGGGUGCAAACGUUGCUCGGAAUUAUUGGGCGUAAAGCGCACGUAGGCGGCUUAGCAAGUCGGAAGUGAAAUCCCUCGGCUCAACCAAGGAAGUGCUUUCGAAACUGCUGAGCUUGAGUACUAAAGAGGAUCGCGGAAUUCCCGGUGUAGAGGUGAAAUUCGUAGAUAUCGGGAGGAACACCAGUGGCGAAGGCGGCGAUCUGGGUAGAUACUGACGCUGAGGCACGAAAGCGUGGGGAGCAAACAGGG
Molecule: ribosomal RNA, 254 nt
Filed under: uncultured bacterium
Lineage: Bacteria
Description: partial 16S ribosomal RNA
Rfam family: Bacterial small subunit ribosomal RNA
Source: RNAcentral